This 460-nucleotide ribosomal RNA is filed under the name uncultured soil bacterium. Its description in RNAcentral is "bacterial SSU rRNA". It matches the Rfam family "Bacterial small subunit ribosomal RNA", at positions 26 to 514 of the family's 1533-position model. The record is from RNAcentral.
AGAGCGAACGCUGGCGGCAGGCCUAACACAUGCAAGUCGAACGGACUCUUCGGAGUUAGUGGCGGACGGGUGAGUAACACGUGGGAACGUGCCUUUAGGUUCGGAAUAGCUCCUGGAAACGGGUGGUAAUGCCGAAUGUGCCCUUCGGGGGAAAGAUUUAUCGCCUUUAGAGCGGCCCGCGUCUGAUUAGCUAGUUGGUGAGGUAAAGGCUCACAAGGCUACGAUCAGUAGCUGGUCUGAGAGGAUGACCAGCCACAUGGGACUGAGACACGGCCCAAACUCCUACGGGAGGCAGCAGUGGGGAAGUCUUGCGCAAUGGGCGAAAAGCCUGACGCAGCCAUGCCGCGUGAAUGAUGAAGGUCUCAGGAUUAGUAAAAAUUUACUUUCAGUAGGGAACGGAUAAAUAGACGGUAACCUAACCAGAAAGAAAGACCCCGGCCGUAACUUCGUUGCCACGCAG